GCGUUAACGAACGAGACCUUAACCUGCUAAAUAGUUAGGCCAACGUUUGUUGGUCGUCAACUUCUUAGAGGGACUAUUGACUAUUAGUCAAUGGAAGUUUGAGGCAAUAACAGGUCUGUGAUGCCCUUAGAUGUUCUGGGCCGCACGCGCGCUACACUGAUACGUUCAUCGAGCUUACAACCUUGGUUGAGAGGCCUGGGUAAUCUUUUGAAACCGUAUCGUGCUGGGGAUAGAUUAUUGUAAUUUUUAAUCUUCAACGAGGAAUUCCUAGUAAACGCUGGUCAUCAGCCAGCAUUGAUUACGUCCCUGCCCUUUGUACACACCGCCCGUCGCUAAUACCGAUUGAAUGGAUC
Molecule: ribosomal RNA, 353 nt
Filed under: Eukaryota sp.
Lineage: Eukaryota
Description: SSU rRNA
Rfam family: Eukaryotic small subunit ribosomal RNA
Source: RNAcentral